GAUGGGGUUUACAAGUUGGUUAGUCUCCUUUUAAGGUUAUGCUCUUGAAACUACUUAUCAUGUUUUCAACUAGAUUUCGAAUUAAUCAGUCGUACAGAUUUCGUAUGAGAUAUGGACUAGGCAUAAGCCGAUACUUUCUUACCUUAGGAUUUAAGAGUGUUUGUUUUAUAUCAAGCAUUUAUAGACUGAUUAGCUUAGAUCCCGAUCUUAUAUGUAUUAUUUUAGGAUAACCUCAAAGAAUCUAGGAGAUAUUACUUCUAUCUUGAUGAAGAACAAAAGUUGUUCGAUAUUUUUUGUAGA
RNAcentral lists this long non-coding RNA (300 nucleotides) under Elaeis guineensis (African oil palm). Its description in RNAcentral is "long non-coding RNA (EGUI_LNC062899)". The record is from RNAcentral. Lineage: Eukaryota; Viridiplantae; Streptophyta; Magnoliopsida; Arecales; Arecaceae.